This 505-nucleotide ribosomal RNA is filed under the name uncultured bacterium. RNAcentral describes it as "partial 16S ribosomal RNA". It matches the Rfam family "Bacterial small subunit ribosomal RNA", at positions 28 to 507 of the family's 1533-position model. The record is from RNAcentral.
GACGAACGCUGGCGGCGUGCCUAAUACAUGCAAGUAGAACGCACAGUUUAUACCGUAGCUUGCUACACCAUAGACUGUGAGUUGCGAACGGGUGAGUAACGCGUAGGUAACCUGCCUGGUAGCGGGGGAUAACUAUUGGAAACGAUAGCUAAUACCGCAUAAUAUUAAUUAUUUCAUGAUAAUUAAUUGAAAGGUGCAAUUGCACCACUACCAGAUGGACCUGCGUUGUAUUAGCUAGUAGGUGAGGUAACGGCUCACCUAGGCGACGAUACAUAGCCGACCUGAGAGGGUGAUCGGCCACACUGGGACUGAGACACGGCCCAGACUCCUACGGGAGGCAGCAGUAGGGAAUCUUCGGCAAUGGAUGAAAGUCUGACCGAGCAACGCCGCGUGAGUGAAGAAGGUUUUCGGAUCGUAAAGCUCUGUUGUAAGAGAAGAACGGGUGUGAGAGUGGAAAGUUCACACUGUGACGGUAGCUUACCAGAAAGGGACGGCUAACUACGUG